AGUGAACGCUGGCGGUAGGCCUAACACAUGCAAGUCGAACGGCAGCACAGUAAGAGUUUGCUCUUACGGGUGGCGAGUGGCGGAUGGGUGAGGAAUGCAUCGGCCUCUUCUUUUUCGUGGGGGAUAACGUAGGGCAACUUACGCUAAUACCGAAUAUGACCUACGGGUGAAAGCAGGGGAUCUUCGGACCUUGCGCGAUUGAAUGAGCCGAUGUCGGAUUAGCUAGUUGGCGGGGUAAAGGCCCACCAAGGCGACGAUCCGUAGCUGGUCUGAGCGGAUGGUCAGCCACACUUGAACUGAGACACGGGCCAGACUCCGACGGGAGGCAGCAGUUGGGAAUAUUGGACAAUUGGCGCAAGCCUGAUCCAGCCAUACCGCGUGGGUUAAGAAGGCCCUCCGGUUGUUAAGCCCUUUUGUUGGGAAAGGAAAGCAUCAGGUUAACACCCCGCUGUUCUGACGGUACCCAAAGAAUAAGCACCGGCUAACUUCGUG
RNAcentral lists this ribosomal RNA (492 nucleotides) under uncultured bacterium. Its description in RNAcentral is "partial 16S ribosomal RNA". It matches the Rfam family "Bacterial small subunit ribosomal RNA", at positions 29 to 507 of the family's 1533-position model. The record is from RNAcentral.